Molecule: ribosomal RNA, 443 nt
Filed under: uncultured soil bacterium
Lineage: Bacteria
Description: bacterial SSU rRNA
Rfam family: Bacterial small subunit ribosomal RNA
Source: RNAcentral
AGAACGAACGCUGGCGGCAUGCCUAAUACAUGCAAGUCGAACGAACUCUUCGGAGUUAGUGGCGCACGGGUGCGUAACGCGUGGGAAUCUGCCCCUUGGUUCGGAAUAACAGUUGGAAACGACUGCUAAUACCGGAUGAUGACGAAAGUCCAAAGAUUUAUCGCCAAGGGAUGAGCCCGCGUAGGAUUAGCUAGUUGGUGAGGUAAAGGCUCACCAAGGCAACGAUCCUUAGCUGGUCUGAGAGGAUGAUCAGCCACACUGGGACUGAGACACGGCCCAGACUCCUACGGGAGGCAGCAGUAGGGAAUAUUGGACAAUGGGCGAAAGCCUGAUCCAGCAAUGCCGCGUGAGUGAUGAAGGCCUUAGGUUGUAAAGCUCUUUUACCCGAGAUGAUAAUGACAGUAUCGGAGAAUAAGCCCGGCUAACUCCGCGCCAGCAGCCGC